This 346-nucleotide ribosomal RNA is filed under the name uncultured prokaryote. Its description in RNAcentral is "bacterial SSU rRNA". It matches the Rfam family "Bacterial small subunit ribosomal RNA", at positions 8 to 336 of the family's 1533-position model. The record is from RNAcentral.
AGAGUUUGAUCCUGGCUCAGAACGAACGCUGGGCGGCGUGCUUAACACAUGCAAGUCCAACGUGAAAGGGGAGCAAUCCCCCGGUAAGUGGCGAACGGGUGAGUAAGACAUGGGAAUCUGCCCUGGAGAUGGGGAUAUCCCUCCGAAAGGGGGGCUAAUACCGAAUACCGUCCGGGAAAACGAGAGGAUUUCGGGGGAAAGGGAGGCCUCUGGCAACAUGCUUCCGCUCCGGGAGGAGCCCAUGGCCCAUCCAGCUAGUUGGGAGGGUAACGGCCUGCCAAGGCGAAGACGGGUAGCUGGUCUGAGAGGACGAUCAGCCACACUGGCACUGAGACACGGGCCAGAC